This is a long non-coding RNA of Brassica napus (rape), 2880 nucleotides long. RefSeq lists it as uncharacterized. NCBI's taxonomy places the organism in Eukaryota, Viridiplantae, Streptophyta, Magnoliopsida, Brassicales, Brassicaceae. The record is from RefSeq and is a predicted model, not a curated record. The transcript has 3 exons.
AUAAAAAGUAAAAACAAAAGAUAAAAUCCAAAGAUGGAGACAGAGAGAACUAUGAAGAGGAGACACUGCGAUUUGCGACAUGCAACCAAUCGCAGGUCGCAGGUUACGCGACAGCAAAACGAACAACAACCUGCAAACUGCGAUCAGGUUUCAGGUCGCAUCGCAGGUCGCAUGUCACAUGUUGCAUAGGUAAACGAACAUGAACAUGGCUAAAGUAAAUUACGGUACGCCUUUUGUGUGUGUGCACUUUUCUAAUAUAAAAGGUUCAAUAAUUGGUCCUAAAAGACACUGGUUUAUCUGAACACCGAUGGCUAACGACUACAUUUUCUCUAUCCAGAAGCUCCUUCUUUUCUUCCUUAUUAUCUCGUGUCGCAAUGCUGUUGGUUCUGCAUCUAUUAUCUUCCUGGUUUUGAUGGCCUCUUCCUUUUGAGCUUGAAACCGGGUAUAUUGGUGUUGGUGAGGAAGAACAAGUGCAGUUGUUCUACUAUUUCAUCAAAUAUGAGGGGAAUCCUGAAGAAGACCCUAUUCUUCUCUGGUUAAGUGGAGGACCUGGUUGCUCUUCAAUCUCUGGUCUUCUUUACGAGAAUGGGCCUAUGACUAUGAAGUUGGAGGUUUACAAUGGAACUGUUCCUUCCUUGGUCUCUACUACAUAUUUCAUGGACUAAGGUAUAUCACAAAGUGUUGUACGUAUUUAAAAAUAUGACUGAGAUUACAACUCCACGCCUCAUCUUUUUCAAGCUGUGCAUCAGAUUUCGAGUAUAAUAGUUUGGACCAACCUGUUGAAACUGGCUUCUCCUACUCAACAACUCAUAAACUCGCUAGUAAACCUAGUGAUUCUGGAGAAGCCAAGUGUAUCCACGAGUUUCUUCACAAGGUACUUUUAAAAAAACUUACUUGGGGGGUCUCUUGGAGCAUUUAUGAGCCUUUUUGUGUGUGGUUGUUGUGCAGUGGCUAAACAAGCAUCAAGAGUUCGUCUCCAACCCUUUCUAUGUAGGUGGAGAUCAACGAUGAUACUCCAGAGAGCAAACCAAGUUUAGAAGAACUUGAUGCCCUCGAGGUAAAACUAGCAUCUCUUAGUUCACUAGGAUUUAUACAUUUUCAUGUUACAAAAGGCUCAAUAGGGUUCCAACACUUGUCUAACAAUGGAAUACAUUGUCAUCCCAGGAGGUUGACCGGUGGAGCUUCUUCCAAGAGGGUCAGACAUAAUAGUCCGACGCAGCUAGAGCUGGUGGAGAGUUAUCAACUCGCAGUGGAGAAUCUGGGAACUCAUCUUAACCCUCGUCUUCAGAUACUUCCUCGUCAGUUUCGUAGCCGCGCCCUCUGUUGCCGGGAAAAUAAAGGACGACUACAAAGACCAAAGACUCUUUUUAUCUAUUUUAUUUUGUGUUGUCUCUGAAGUUUCACAUUAUUGUUCACAAGGAAACCGACAUUUGAAAGUCGGUUUUUAUUAUGUUUGAACAAAAGUGGUUUGGUUUAGCUGUUUGACUCUUUGGUGGUCUAUCAAAUUCACUGUGGUUCCGAAAAUAUAUGUGGUGCUGCUCGUUCCAAAUUAUACUUAUUUGUUUUUUUUUUUUUUUUUUUUACUUAUUUGUUUUUUAUUAAAGGAAAAAACAGUGAUGCAGCUGAAAACAAAAAAAAUUAUGUGGCACCGAAUAAAUCAAGACCAGUACUCUUAGAAAUUAGAUCCGCAUGCACGGUUUCGAAUUACACCAACUAUAUAUAGGGUGAAACAAAAAAAAAUGGUAAUAAAACUAAUGUCUUUGAAGCACAAUAUAUCGGCAGAAACAUCCUACAUGCCGAAACCUUAAACAUUUGCUACUCCAAGGCAAUCAAUCUUCUGACAAAGUUAUCUACCUUUAAUGGUUUUCAUUAUCAGAUCAUAGUGGUUGAUUCUUUUAGAAACGUAAUAUAAAUAAUUAUUAGCAUCAAACAAUUUCUGAAAUAAAAAUUAUAUGGAAAAACUGUAAAAAUAAUAAUACAAAUUUACUAUUAUUAUGUAUUUCAUCUCUAAUGGUAAGCUAGCAAAUUUUUGUGACAGUUCAUUGAAAUGUUUGAAUCAAGCGUAGCAAAUUAAUUGAAGACGAUACGUUGAUCCAUGCGAUGGAUGAAAUACAUUUAGACUACAAUAUUUAUGGGUAAACUCUUAUUCAUUUUUUCGCUUAGAUCUAUAGGGAAAAUUGAGAUAUUUUUUUAUUUUAAGUAAAAAUUGGAGAAUACAUUAGUUAUAUUGUACAACAUUUGUUCAAAUUAAUAAAGGCGGUUAGUUAUUAAGUUUAUCGAGUGAAACCAAAAAAAUGUUAUUAAAUUUUUAUUAUUUAUGUUUUGAGUCUUGUAUUUGUGUCUUGUUUAAAUUAAGUCCUCCGAUAAUCAUUCUCGAACUCGUAGAUCGUAACCAAUGUUUCACCAUUGAGAAACUUAAACCGGAUAUUGGAAAACCGUAUGAUCAUGUAACCAUCAUCACGACACUUGUAUCCAAUCCCCAAGAUAUUGUAACGCGCCAAACAUCGCAAGAACAUUGUGCUUCUUUAAUCUUUUUAUUUGGCGGCAAUUAUCAUCUUUUAUCGAUUUUAAUAUACAAAAACUAUAUUAUUUUUUAAAUAUCCUCUUUCUUAUUUAAUGUUUUUUCUAAAAAUAAUAAUUAAAUUCACUUUUAUGAAUAAAAAGAAAUAAAAAAAAUUUGUAAUUGGAUAUAAUAUUUAAUCCAUUACGGUUAUUUAUGUAAUUGGUUUUUUAAGAAUUAAUAUGAAGAUGAUUUCUCAAAUUUAUAUCUAUGUAAAUUAAUUAAAUUUUCAUUUUAUUUUUUAGUAUUUUUUCUUAAUGUGGAUGGGAUUUGAGAAAUACGAUAUUAGACUAUCAGUUUAUGUUAUUUAAAAGUUAUUU